RNAcentral lists this long non-coding RNA (6477 nucleotides) under Ananas comosus (pineapple). RNAcentral's name for it is "long non-coding RNA (ACOM_LNC024455)". Lineage: Eukaryota; Viridiplantae; Streptophyta; Magnoliopsida; Poales; Bromeliaceae. The record is from RNAcentral.
AAACUAGGCUCGAAUACUAUCAAUAGCACAAAGCUAUUGGUGCCAUCAGGUUUUUGGCCUUUGGAUGAAAAAAUGUGCGGUUAGGAUGAUGUAGGCCCCCUAGUGUUGAGUGAGUUAUUGGUUGAAUAGUAUAAUCUAACGGGUGAAAAUAGUCAAAGGGUUAAAUCUAACGGUGGAAAAUUCGGUAGCACCAAACGCUUGGUGCUAUCGAUAGUAUUCUAGCCGAACUCUCUCUCUAUAUAUAGAUAAUUGAGCUCCGAUACUUUUAAAAGCACCAAGUUGUUGGUGCUUAUAGGUUUCGACUAUCCUUGGAUUAAGGGAUGUGCGAUUAUGAUGAUAGUGGUCCCAAGGGUUGAGUAGGUGGUUAGUCAAAUAGUAUGAUCUAACGAGUAAAAGUGGUCGGGGGUAGAUAUGAUGGCGAAAAACCUAUUUGAGCACCGACAACACCAUCGUCCAAUGGGGAGGCACUGAUGGAGGAUGAGCCGUUGAUGGAGGCAGAGCAGGAGCAGAUCAGGGAGUGGUUGGCGAGCUUUCGCCAAUUUGAUCCACCUCGAUUUGGCGAUAGUCACACCGAGCUCUAGGUAGUAGAGGCUUGGGUUGGAGCUAUGGAGAAGAUAUUUUAGGAUAUCUUUAUUCCAGAGCGGAAUUAGGUUCACUUAGCAGUACAUUGUUUGGAGGGUGAUGCUCAUACUUGGCGGCGGAGGAUUAGACCGACUCUACCUUAGGGUGCACGACGGAUGACAUGGAUCGACUUUUGAGGAUUACUGUAUGGGGCCUAUUUUUCAAACAAUGUGGAGAAGAAACUCGAAAAGAAUAUGAAGAACCUGUAGAAAGGCAAUCAGAUGGUGCAUGAGUACACUAGAAAGUUCAUUUGGUUGCUGAAGUAUGUACUAUUCGUCAUGACGGAUAAGACGCGCAAGAUUUGCUUAUUUGAGCAAGGUUUGAGGCCCAAAAUCUUUGUAUUAUUACAGGCUCAGCACCUUCGGGCUCUCGAUGUAGUGAUUCGGCAGGCUUUUUGGGUAGAGCAGGGUGCUACAGUCAUGAGGGAAAGGACUACAGUCAGGGCAGAGUCUUGAGAGGAAGCGCCCGACAGGCAAGCCUUAGGCCCUUCUGAUUCUAAAGUGAAAGUAGGACCAGAUCACGAUGGAUUUCAUUGUUGAAUUACCUCAAGCUCAAGAUAGAUUUGACACAGUGUAGAUGAUAGUAGACAGACUGAUCAAGUCUGCUUAUUUUCUACUGGUGUAGACGACAUGGUCCUGGGAUCGACUCGCAUAGUUGUAUUUGGAUGAGGUAGUGAGGUUACAUGGAGUAUGUACCGCGAUAGUACCAGAUCAAGACUUGAGAUUUGUCUCGCAUUUCUGCAGGAGCUUACAGACAGCCUUGGAUACUCAGUUGCACUUCAGUACAGCUUUCACCCACAUACUGAUGGACAGUCAGAAUAGAUUAUUCAGAUUCUAGAGGAUAUGUUGAGAGCUUAUAUCCUAAACUUUGGAGGAGGGAGGCAUAAACAUUUGAGAUUGGUUGAGUUUGCGUACAACAAUAGCUAUCAAGCGAGCAUUCAGAUGGCUCCGUUUGAAGCAUUAUAUGGACGCAAGUGUCGAUCACCCCUACAUUAGAGUGAAGUAGAUGAAAGUAAGACUUUGGGGUCAAACAUUCUUUUACAGAUAGAAAAAGAUCAUGGUUGCACAAUUAAAACAAUCCAAAGUCAGUAGGGGAGAUAUGCUGAUAAUAGGGACGAGACUUGAAGUUUCAGAUUGAAGACCAUGCGUUUUUGAAAGUCUCGUUGUCUAGGGGGAUUCGAAGAUUCACAGUUUGUGAAAAGCUAAGUCUGCAUUAUAUUGGUCCUAUAGAGGUUUUGGAGUGGGUUUGUGAGGUGCCGAACUUUUAAAAUUAUGAAGUUCCGGUGUAUGUUGGUUUGGAAAGUCAUUAGAGUGGUUCCGGUGAAAGUCGGAAGCAUUCGAGCGUUUUAGGUGCGCGUAGGCGCGAAAAUGGUACCCGGAAGGCUAUGUUGGACCAUGAACUAAAUCUGACAUUAGUGUUGAUGAAAAGAUGAUGAAAAUAUGCUCGAAAAUAUGUUUUGAGAAUCUCGGUGCGAUUUGAAAUGAAUCGGAGGCCAAACGAGCGAAAAUGAGUGGAAACAGAGAAGAAACGGACGGAGGCUGAAAUUUGGCUAAGUCCUUAAUUCGCUGGGCUGGGAGGACCUACGGGGUUUGGACCUUGCCUCCAAGGUCCAGACCCCGAGAGCGAAAAUAGCCCAGUUCGGGGCUGUGCAUAGAGCUGAUAUGUGAGGGGUUUUUAUGCAAUUUUGCAUUAGUUGGGGGCAAUAUGAAGGGGUGAGGGCCUUCUCAUCUCAUUCCUCUCAACCCUAACACCCAAAACACCUCUCUCUCUCACUCUAGAACCUCUCUCUCUCUCUCUCUUCAAGAAGGAAGGCAAGGAGGGGGAUUGAUGGAGGGUGAAGCUUGAAGAAGGAUCAUCAUCUUCUUCUCCUUCUUCUUCACCUUGGAGCAAGCUUAGAGAGGUUUUGCAAUAUGUAAGGGUUUGAUCUCAAUUAACCCUCUGUAAACCUAACUGUUAGGUUUCCUGACACGUUGGCGAAGUCGGUUCGGCGAUCCGACGAACCUACGAGAAGAUAUUGCUGAAAAAGGACCUUCCGACAUUCGUUUCUGCUUGGAGGGUCGAGGCGGUGUCCGUAAAUCACGGGAUCGGAUUCUGAGUAUCGUAACGAGAAAUCGAAGACCUUUAUUUUUCGGAUCGCGGAUCGGAGGUUGUUCGGUGGUCGCGUGUGAAUUGGGUCAAGCCGAGCGGCGUGCGCCGCGGGAGGCUGAUUGCGAGUGACGACGAGCAAUCGGAACGCUAUAAAAAGGUGGGUGGUGACUAUCCCGAAGCAGUUGAACUGCUCCCUAUGUCUAAGUAUUAUUGUUGAUCGAAUUGCAUAUUGUGCAUAUUGAACUCUUGCAUUAUAGGGUGCUUAAUUGGUUGUUUCAUAUUCUUGCAUGCUAGUGUAGUGUAGUGUAGUGUUGCUUGUUUGGCACCUGAACCUAGUAUGCAUGAGAUUGGGAAGUAGUGCUUUAGAACCCUAUAAUGAGAGGAUAAAUGUUAAUUUGAUCCUAGGUAGAUGAAAACCUAGUGAAUGUGUAAUUAGUGUAUUGGGAACACUUAAACAAGAACGAGUGUCAUCUAGUUAAUGUUGAACACGAGAACGAGUGGCAUCUAGACAAGGUUAAUAACUUGACGAGUGGCGUGACAAGUAGGGUAUAGAUGGAAAUACCUAUUGCAAGUCGAACUUAGGAAUGAACUAGUUCCCAAGUGAUGUUGGCUAUAGUGGCAGGAUAUCCUCAGUGACGGGGAUUUGAUCAUAUUCACAUGUCUGUUCAGAGCUUGUAGGCAGUCGCUCCGCACAAGCGUGCGCUCCGAAGUUGUCACAUGAUAGGGAUAGCCUUUUUGGGUCCCGAAGGGUGAGCCUUUGGGCCCCGCAGACGGUCUUGGGUGAGUAAGUAGAUUCUCACCUUGAGUGAGCGGUUCCUCACCUAUGAUUAUGUUGUGAGUCGAGUGAGUGAGUAGAUUCUCACCUUGAGUGAGCGGUUCCUCACCUAUGAUUAUGUUGUGAGUCGGGUGAGUGAGUAGAUUCUCACCUUGAGUGAGCGGUUCCUCACCUAUGAUUGGGUUGUGAGUCGGGUGAGUGAGUAGAUUCUCACCUUGAGUGAGCGGUUCCUCACCUACAAUUAUGUUGUGAGUCGGGCGAGUGAGCGGAUCCUCCCCGUAGAGAGUAGAUUGUGAGUCGCGUGAGUGAGCGGAUCCUCACCAGUGUGACCGAGUGGAUGUGGCACCUAUAACGGGGCCGUGGGAUUGAGACGUGAGAUUGAGGGCGAGCCCACGAGCUAGUCGAGUGAUUGGGUGAUCUAAUGAAUAGCAUCGUUGUUGGACAUAGUAGCAUGGUAGCUAGCCUUAUACUAUGUAGUGCAUGCAUUCAUAGCAUUUGAUUGAGGCAUAGUAGGAUACUUGCAUUUCUACUUACUUGCUAUUCUUGCUGUUUCAUACAUAGCUAUCUAUCUAUCUGUCUGUCUAUCUGUCUAUGCCUGCUUAGACCUAGUGGGGAGAUCGGCGGAGUCGGUGGCCGAACCCACUGGGAACUAUUCGUAGUUCUCACCCCACUUUGUUGCAGGGCCGAGCUCGAGUACCCCCGGUGAGGAUCGUGGUAAGGCUUAGCGCCCUAGUGUUGGUAGCCUGCCUUCCUUUUUGCAUUAGAGUCACCUGAUAUAUAUUGAGAGUAGAUGAUGUAUAGAGGUGAGGUAUUAGAUGAUUGUAAACUUAUGUUUAUAUUUUGGAAGAAUGCAAAGGUAAUCAAAUGUAUAAAGGUUGAAUAUUUGUAAUAGAUUAGUAUCUCUCUUUCGUUCACUCGUUUGUUACUUGUGAUGCUUGCUCUUGAUUGUUUAGCACUGGUUGUGCUCUCGCUGUUGUUGUAUGAUCGUGUAUGUAUUCAAGUGAUUUCCUGGGAACUUGUUGUACAUGAUCUCGUUGUUUAGCCUUGGGCGGACAGGGGAGGUCUUGUCCGUCAGGCGUCUGUUCGACGCGCCCGAACCGGACCAAAAUGGUAGCGGGUCUCGGGGUGUGACAGGGUUGGACUGGUGGCCUACAAGAUUGCUCUACUAUCGCAAUUAGCUGGUAUUUACGAUGUCUUUCUUGUCUCGGCAUUGAGGAAAUAUAUUUUUGAUCCUUCGCAAGUGAUUGACUUCACCCCACUAGAGCUGAGUGAGUGUCACGCCCCCGCCCCGAAACCCCUACCAAUUUAGCACGGUUUGGGCGCGGCGAACGAACGUCGAACGGGCAGCAACUCCCCUGCCCGCCCAAGGCUCACAACCUGAUCAUGUACAAGAAUUUAUCCAGGAAAAAUUAAAUUCAUACAUACACGAUCAACGGGGCACAAAUAGUGCCAACAACGAAGAGCAAGUAAUCCACAAGAUACACAAGUGAAAUAAAGAGAGAACUACUAACUAUUACAUCACAUUUGCAUUCUUUAUACAAUUACAUUUUCUUUUCCAAAAUGAAUACAUGCUCAUCAAGUACAUAGCUCUCCAAAGUCCUCACCUACAUGAAUCUCUCUCAAAUACAUAGGUGUGCUAAUGCAAAAGGAAAGCUACUACUCUACCAAUAAUCCUCACUGGUCGGGUGCGAUGCCCUUGUCGCGGUCCUCGCCCGGCAAACCUGUACCUAGCCUUGGAAAUAAAGUGGGGUGAGAACUAUCUUCCAUAGUUCCCAGUGGGCCCGGCCGCAGACUCCACCGAUCUCCCUACUAGGUCCAAGUGGGCAAAAGUAACAACGAAACAGAUAGAUAUAUAUAUAUCAAAGCUGUAAAGACAUAAUAGGAAAAUUAUGCUACUAUGCCCAUAAUCAUGUGAAAUGAAUGCAUGCAUCAUUUAAUAAAAGUUUACUAUCAUGCUAACAAGUUCGAUCCAUGUUCGAUAAGCAAUGUUCGAUAACAAUAGUAACUUUUCAUUUACCCAAUCUGUGGCGAAACCCUUGGGUUUGCCUACGCCUCACAUAUCCAUCCCAUAGGGUAAGGAGACUCUAUGUUCCCCCGAACCUGGGACUGUCUGCGGACAUCAAUUCUGUCUAAUCGCCCGACACUCCGGAGUAUUUGACGACAAUUUCUCUCCAUGUGAGGAUAUGGAUGGCUUUACCAUCCUGAAUAACAGACCGUGAGCUUGAUCUAUCCUCUCCACGUGAGGAUACCCUACGAACUAGGGCCAACAUUCUGUCGGAACUCAUCUAUGUCACUCUCUAGGUUAAUGCCACUCUCUAUGUCACUGAAAAACCAUCGAGUUCAUCUCUUUCUUUUGGCACUAUAGGAUCCAUGUUCCGACCCAAUCCUUACCUAUCCAUUUCACCAAGUAUUCCAUGCACACUAGGUUAACAUUUAGAAGCAUAAGGAAAAGGUACUAUAAUGCAAUCCUACAAUGCAACAUGUAAAAGAUGAAAAUCAUGUAUUUCUAAGACAAAAAAGAGCUCGGUUGCUUCGGGAUGACACCCCCCACCUUUCGAUGGUACGAAGGUUCUAGAAACGCUUUCCAACGAAUGUUACGACGAGGUCUCGGCCUCCUUGGUCCAAAACGGUGCUCAAUCGGCUAUAUUUCGUCGAUAGCUUUUCACCCGCUCGACGAAUCAAAAAUCCGACUUCGCCCCCGCGUUUAGACACCUAUCAAUUAGGUUUACAAGCUAUCAAAUGAGAUCAAUAUCAUCAUUUAUCAAAGACUCCAAUUUGGAGCCCUAGGUUUGCACCAAUAGCAAACCACUAAUAAAUCCCUAGAUUCUAGCUUAAAGCAUCAACUAAUCAUGCGAGGGUUCCAUUUGACCAAUUUCUAAAGCUAGAAAUCCAAAACCCUAGGUUCUACCAUUGUUAGGGUUCAAGAACUUACCUCUUAAGCUACACCAAAGGGGAGAGGAGAGGGAGGUGAAGGUGUCCUCGGGGGAUCGCGA